This 76-nucleotide transfer RNA is filed under the name Oscillospiraceae bacterium. RNAcentral describes it as "tRNA-Arg". It matches the Rfam family "tRNA". Rfam says of the family: Transfer RNA (tRNA) molecules are approximately 80 nucleotides in length. The record is from RNAcentral. Lineage: Bacteria; Bacillati; Bacillota; Clostridia; Eubacteriales; Oscillospiraceae.
GCGCCCGUAGCUCAGUGGAUAGAGCACCCGCCUCCUAAGCGGGGGGUCGGACGUUCAAAUCGUCUCGGGCGUGCCA